This 462-nucleotide ribosomal RNA is filed under the name uncultured bacterium. RNAcentral describes it as "bacterial SSU rRNA". It matches the Rfam family "Bacterial small subunit ribosomal RNA", at positions 39 to 484 of the family's 1533-position model. The record is from RNAcentral.
GGCCGCGGGAAUUCGAUUCAGGCCUAACACAUGCAAGUCGAGCGGUAGAGAGAAGCUUGCUUCUCUUGAGAGCGGCGGACGGGUGAGUAAUGCCUAGGAAUCUGCCUGGUAGUGGGGGAUAACGUUCGGAAACGGACGCUAAUACCGCAUACGUCCUACGGGAGAAAGCAGGGGACCUUCGGGCCUUGCGCUAUCAGAUGAGCCUAGGUCGGAUUAGCUAGUUGGUGAGGUAAUGGCUCACCAAGGCUACGAUCCGUAACUGGUCUGAGAGGAUGAUCAGUCACACUGGAACUGAGACACGGUCCAGACUCCUACGGGAGGCAGCAGUGGGGAAUAUUGGACAAUGGGCGAAAGCCUGAUCCAGCACAGGCCGCGUGUGUGAAGAAGGUCUUCGGAUUGUAAAGCAAUGAAGUUGGGAGGAAGGGCAUUAACCUAAUACGUUAGUGUUUGACGUACCGACAG